GAUUCAGUGGUGUAGUGGUAUCACGGGCGCUUGCCAUCAUAGUUUGCGCCCGACCCGGGUUCGAUUCCCGGCUGAUUCA
This 79-nucleotide transfer RNA is filed under the name Morchella punctipes. Its description in RNAcentral is "tRNA-Gly". It matches the Rfam family "tRNA". Rfam says of the family: Transfer RNA (tRNA) molecules are approximately 80 nucleotides in length. RNAcentral also lists the same sequence under 10 other names. The record is from RNAcentral. Lineage: Eukaryota; Fungi; Ascomycota; Pezizomycetes; Pezizales; Morchellaceae.